UCGAUCUGCUGCGGGCAAAUGAAGUGGAUAUGGCAGUCGAACCCGCCAGCCGUGAUGAUUUUGCCUUCGCCUGCAAUCGCCUCAGUCGAGGGGCCAAUGAUGAUAUCCACGCCGUCCUGAAUAUCAGGAUUGCCAGCUUUGCCGAUGGCCACGAUCCGGCCAUCCUUGAUGCCGAUGUCAGCUUUUACGAUGCCCCAAUAGUCCAGAAUAACAGCAUUUGUAAUGACGGUAUCAACGGCACCAUCGCGGCGACGGACCUGGGAUUGGCCCAUGCCAUCGCG
RNAcentral lists this small RNA (281 nucleotides) under marine eukaryotic metagenome. RNAcentral's name for it is "5' ureB small RNA". It matches the Rfam family "5' ureB small RNA". The record is from RNAcentral.